AAAACUGUGCACACAGCCGGUAUCCUGUCACUUUGCCGUUGACGGUUGCACGGAACACACUGAACAUCUUUGGGUAGUAUUUGGGGUAGACAUUUCUAAACCAUCAAAAUGUGUGACGAUGAUGUAGCCGCUUUGGUUGUAGACAAUGGAUCCGGCAUGUGCAAGGCCGGUUUCGCUGGAGACGAUGCUCCUCGUGCCGUCUUCCCCUCCAUCGUCGGAAGACCCCGUCAUCAGGGAGUGAUGGUCGGUAUGGGACAGAAGGACAGCUAUGUCGGUGAUGAGGCCCAGAGCAAGAGGGGUAUUCUAACCCUCAAGUACCCCAUCGAACACGGUAUCGUCACAAACUGGGACGAUAUGGAGAAGAUUUGGCAUCACACCUUCUACAACGAGCUCCGUGUAGCUCCCGAGGAGCACCCUGUCCUCCUGACAGAGGCCCCACUUAACCCCAAGGCCAACAGGGAAAAGAUGACACAGAUCAUGUUCGAGACCUUCAACUCUCCCGCCAUGUACGUCGCCAUCCAGGCUGUGUUGUCCCUAUACGCCUCUGGUCGUACCACCGGAAUCGUGUUCGAUGCUGGCGAUGGUGUGUCCCACACAGUCCCAAUCUACGAAGGUUAUGCCCUUCCCCACGCCAUCCUCCGUUUGGAUCUCGCUGGUCGUGAUCUAACAGACUAUCUGAUGAAAAUCCUUACCGAGCGUGGUUACUCAUUCACAACCACAGCCGAGAGAGAAAUCGUAAGAGACAUUAAGGAAAAAUUAUCUUAUGUAGCACUUGACUUUGAACAAGAAAUGCAGACAGCUGCUUCCUCCUCAUCACUGGAGAAGAGCUACGAACUUCCCGACGGUCAGGUGAUCACCAUUGGAAACGAGAGGUUCAGGUGCCCCGAGGCUCUGUUCCAGCCCUCAUUCUUGGGAAUGGAAUCUGCUGGUAUUCACGAAACCACAUACAACAGUAUCAUGAAGUGUGACGUAGAUAUCCGUAAAGACUUGUAUGCCAACACUGUACUGUCAGGUGGCAGCACAAUGUUCCCCGGUAUUGCCGACCGUCUGCAGAAGGAAAUCACUGCCCUCGCUCCACCAACCAUGAAAAUCAAGAUCAUUGCUCCACCAGAGAGGAAAUACUCCGUCUGGAUCGGAGGCUCCAUCUUGGCUUCUCUGUCCACCUUCCAACAGAUGUGGAUCAGCAAGCAGGAAUAUGACGAGUCCGGCCCAUCCAUUGUCCACAGGAAAUGCUUCUAAACGCUUCAUAAUCCAAGAGUACGACAAAGUCUACACAAUACGAAAACUAUGAUCUGAAGGACUUUUUGCGCACCGGGUUUGCGCAUUGUGUCCCAAGUUUUGUUAAACGAUUCCACCAGGUUUCAGCAAUCGGGAGAUGCUAUGCAAUAUAACAAACUAACCUCGCGAUGUUCAGUUAAGUUGCAGUUCCUCUUAGAAAAAGAGGUGCCCGUGUCUUAAGAUGGCAAUACGGUCCGAACACAUCGUCUGCGCUAUACUACCCCAAUCUUGUUAUUCAUUAUCACAUUGACAAUGUGAAUAAAGUUCAUGUAUGUAUAUUGUAAUAAUAAAUUUUUUAUUUUGUAUACAA
Mizuhopecten yessoensis (Yesso scallop) is the source of this 1588-nucleotide RNA transcript. It is a transcript of the gene named actin, cytoplasmic-like, with no coding region annotated. The record is from RefSeq and is a predicted model, not a curated record. The transcript is spliced from 2 exons. NCBI's taxonomy places the organism in Eukaryota, Metazoa, Mollusca, Bivalvia, Pectinida, Pectinidae.